Long non-coding RNA from Dermacentor silvarum, 485 nucleotides. RefSeq lists it as uncharacterized. The transcript has 4 exons. NCBI's taxonomy places the organism in Eukaryota, Metazoa, Arthropoda, Arachnida, Ixodida, Ixodidae. The record is from RefSeq and is a predicted model, not a curated record.
CAUUUUCGCACUCAAGUUGCGCAUCACACCACUAUGCGAAUUUGGAUUCUCUUAGCACUCUUGACAAUGGUGCUCACCGUUCCGGUAUUCGUGAAAAGCCUUGAAGAGCAUGAAAUUCCGAUUGACUGUUUUAGAAAUGGCACUUGCAGGUACCCUGAAGUGUGUAAACAAUGUCCAAAGCCUGAACCAUAUGGUUUUUUGAGAUAUACAGUUUACUACUUCAAUACCAGCACUGAGCGCUGUGAAGAGACCAUUGCAAACAUGGAGACAAGUUGCAACAGCUUUCAAACAUUGGGUGAUUGUGCGCACUUUUGUGGCCUUGAAUAUGAAGAUUACGAAGACGAAUGAUCCUAUAGAAAGCAUCAGAUACCCUGUGGCCUUCAAGAACACCUGUGCCUUUUUGCUGAAACUUCAAAAGAAAACACACUUCACCUAAUUCAUCAACUACCACUAUCAUUUUGAAAAUACGGCGCAGUAAAGAUAAU